This 92-nucleotide ribosomal RNA is filed under the name Acanthosepion pharaonis. Lineage: Eukaryota; Metazoa; Mollusca; Cephalopoda; Sepiida; Sepiidae. The record is from RNAcentral.
UAAAACACCUCUUCCCAUGCGAUCACAGAAGUUAAGCAACAUCAAGCCUGAUCAGUACCUAGAUGGGUAACCACUUGGUAAUAACAGGUGCU